AUCAUUUCCCAGCCUUUUGGCUAAGAUCAAGUGCAGCAUCUGUUCUUAUCAGUUCCUUAUCAGGCCCAGAAAAUAGUAAAAGCUAGGUAAAGACAGCCCUUUAGUAUUUAUAUGAUUCAUUUUAUCAGUUCUUGAAGAAAGAGCACUGUGCAGGCAAUGCUAUCUCGCUGCUAUGUUGCAAAAGAG
This 186-nucleotide small nuclear RNA is filed under the name Callipepla squamata (scaled quail). Its description in RNAcentral is "U2 spliceosomal RNA". It matches the Rfam family "U2 spliceosomal RNA". From Rfam's summary of the family: U2 is a small nuclear RNA (snRNA) component of the spliceosome (involved in pre-mRNA splicing). The record is from Rfam by way of RNAcentral. Lineage: Eukaryota; Metazoa; Chordata; Aves; Galliformes; Odontophoridae.